RNAcentral lists this long non-coding RNA (914 nucleotides) under Astyanax mexicanus (Mexican tetra). Its description in RNAcentral is "lncRNA (ENSAMXG00005016443.1)". Lineage: Eukaryota; Metazoa; Chordata; Actinopteri; Characiformes; Acestrorhamphidae. The record is from RNAcentral.
UGAAGGAAACAAUGUAUAAACAGUUCCUUCCAAUUGCAAAAAAAUGUAAAAUUUACAUAUGUCUGGCUUGUACUGAAUGGUGAAAUUAAGUCAGAAAAACAAGCUGGUAUACAUUCUUAAAGUUCAGUACCGCCUCUACUUUUGAAUGUUUUGCCAUUCAGGAAGACAUUGGUAACUAUAAUAAUUAGUCAACAGAGAAAAAUCCACAUUGUGCGUACAGGGCUUUCUUCUAACAUUCAGCAACUCCAAUAUUUACAUUUCUGUUUUUUAUUUGCACCUUUUCUUCACAUAGGCCCUAGUCCCCUGGACCCUCAUGGACCCAGCAGGCAGAUGUCUGGAUCUUCAGUUUUACCCAGGGAGUCCAAACCUGGGCAUACAGAAUGAUGAACGACUUUGAGCACUCCUCGCUCAGCAAUGCUGUUCUCUCUGCCUCUACACCCAUUAGCUCCACAGCUUCUCAGCUGGUUCCUGGUUUUUAAGCCUGUACCUGGUUGUCUGUGUUCCAGAUCAGUUAGAUCACAAUGGAGUCCUUAAGCAAUUUAUGUGCAUGAAUGGAUAUCUGAUACUAAUGUGGACACCCAAUCAUACCUAGAGAUUGUGUUACUGCUAAAACUCCCAAGAUUCUGAAAAGUCAGAAAUUUUAGGGGGCCUUUAGGUGUGAAAGGGGCUGCAAACCACUGUCUGGACCAAAGGACCAGAGUUUGGUCCGACCAAGAGAUGUGGUCUCGGUCCGGAUCUACUGAACUAUGCUCUGGUUCGCCUGCAGUGUGAAAGCACUUUUCUAGAUGGUUCAGACUUUCAGACCAAUUAAAGAAAGCAGAGGCAGCCCUUUAAACAAACUAGAGGAGGAAAGGAUUGGUGCUGAACUGAAAUCUGACUCCCCUUGGCGUGCAGGCGCAUCACCAUUAUAGGAC